CUAAGUACCAGUCAUAUGAUCCCAGCAGCUAUAAUGAAACUCUGGAGCCACACUUUGAAUGAUCUCUUUUCUGACCCUUUACCUCAUCAAGCUGAUCUACACUUGAGUUUUUAUGGAUGCCGCAGUUCUUUAUUACCUACACGAUCCUUCCGCAGCUCUUUGUUAUCUGCAUCAUAAAGGAAAAACCAAGCAAGAACAUUGGUCUGAGGACACAGCUUCUCAGAUACUAUGUUGCUGCAUCACAGGGCCUCUUGGUUCAUUGCUGUAGGACCAGAAGCCAUCAGUUCCCAUGGCGUGACCGUCAACUAACACACAGCAGCAGCAAGCCAGGCCCUAAGCACACACAUUCAUCAGAGCCCUCAGGAACAGCAGUGUACAGCGAUCGAGAAAUUGGUGUUGAAGAGGAAAGAAUUUCUGCCAGGUGAAAACCACAAGCAUGGGUCUUGUUUGACAUAUGUUUGGCAAUAUGUAAUGAGCAUUGAUGUAUGCAGUGCAUUUCCCAGCUCAACUACAAUGCACACUAGAAAAUUCUAGGUGCUACUUUCCCGCAUCCUAUAUGUGCUCUGAGAGGUGCUCCAGAUUACAAAAGUAAAAAUGCUUAGUUUGGAAUUGAUCAAGCUGGCAGUUACCUGCUGUCGUGGCCCAUGAAUCUUCUCCCUUGAUCCCCCUCAGUGGGACAGGGGAGAGAAUUGGAAGCAUAAA
Long non-coding RNA from Cyanistes caeruleus (blue tit), 702 nucleotides. RefSeq lists it as uncharacterized. Lineage: Eukaryota; Metazoa; Chordata; Aves; Passeriformes; Paridae. The record is from RefSeq and is a predicted model, not a curated record.